GAUGAAGAACGCAGCGAAAUGCGAUACGUAAUGUGAAUUGCAGAAUUCAGUGAAUCAUCGAGUCUUUGAACGCACAUUGCGCCCCCUGGUAUUCCGGGGGGCAUGCCUGUCCGAGCGUCAUUGCUGCCCUCAAGCACGGCUUGUGUGUUGGGCCCCCGCCCCCCGGUUCCCGGGGGGCGGGCCCGAAAGGCAGCGGCGGCACCGCGUCCGGUCCUCGAGCGUAUGGGGCUUCGUCACCCGCUCCGUAGGCCCGGCCGGCGCCCGCCGGCGACCCCCCCUCAAUCUUUCCAGGUUGACCUCAAAUCAGGUAGGACUACCCGCUGAACUUAAGCAUAUCAAUAAGCGGAGGA
RNAcentral lists this unclassified non-coding RNA (350 nucleotides) under soil metagenome. RNAcentral describes it as "partial contains 5.8S ribosomal RNA, internal transcribed spacer 2, and large subunit ribosomal RNA". The stretch from base 1 to 120 matches the Rfam family "5.8S ribosomal RNA", at positions 35 to 154 of the family's 154-position model. The record is from RNAcentral.